CAGCCGCCGCGGGAAUACGUAGGUGGCAAGCGUUGUCCGGAAUUAUUGGGCGUAAAGGGCUCGCAGGCGGUUCCUUAAGUCUGAUGUGAAAGCCCCCGGCUCAACCGGGGAGGGUCAUUAGAAACUGGGAAACUUGAGUGCAGAAGAGGAGAGUGGAAUUCCACGUGUAGCGGUGAAAUGCGUAGAGAUGUGGAGGAACACCAGUGGCGAAGGCGACUCUCUGGUCUGUAACUGACGCUGAGGAGCGAAAGCGUGGGGAGCGAACAGGAUUAGAUACCCCUGUAGUCCCUGUCUCUUAUAC
RNAcentral lists this ribosomal RNA (301 nucleotides) under uncultured bacterium. RNAcentral describes it as "partial 16S ribosomal RNA". It matches the Rfam family "Bacterial small subunit ribosomal RNA", at positions 509 to 807 of the family's 1533-position model. The record is from RNAcentral.